GGGCCAGACUUCACACGCUGGGAUAGGCAGACCCUCUACCUCACUGAGGGUCGAAGGCCCGUCGGCUAGCCUCACCUGGUUUGGCCUGUCUGCCGAGACGGUUUACCAGGGUGUGGCCGCUGCGCGUGUUACAGCUACUUGGAGCCACAGCUGGGGCAAAUGGCGGAUACAUUUAUAUGUCAAGAAACAAGAAUAAUCAGUGUGGAAUUGCAUCAGCUGCCAGCUUCCCUACAGAACGUUAAAAUUCUCAACAAAUUGAAGCAAUUGACCUGAGAUCUUCUAAAGAAGUCACGUAUCUUUGAUCCAUUAUUAAUACAACUUAUAAAACAAUGGAAUGAUAUAUAUAGUCCAUUUAUGAAUAGAUUUUGCAAGCUUAAUUUUUUGCAUGUUUUUAUGUUGGGUUGUGAUCCUAAUUCAUUGAAUUUUGGACUAAAUAUAUUUUUGGAAUGUAUUUCUGUGUUGUCAUCUGAUGUUAAGAUGCUCCUCACAUUAUCUGAACAGUCUUUUGGAAUCUGCUUGUCCAGAUAUUGUUGGAAAUGCUGAAAAUCUCUUAUUUUUUCAUAAAACAUAGAAUAGUGCAUUACAGGGACAGGUCCUAUGGCCCACAAUAUUGUGCUGAACCAAUAAAAAUAGGAAUUAAAUGUCUAACUCAUCUCUUCUGCGUAUUAAAGGUCCGUAUUCCUCAAUUUACUGCACUUUUGUAUGAACAUCUAAGAACAUCUUAAAUGCCUUCAUCAUAUUUGCCUCCACCUCUGUCAGCACAUUGCAGGUAUCCACCACUCUGUAAAAGUAAAUUGCCACGUACAUCUCCUUUGAACUUAUCCCCUCUCGCCUUGAACUUAUCUCCUCUCACCUUAAAGGUAUUAGACAUUUCCCCCUCUAUCAUCUUAAAUACAGAACUUCAGCUUAAAUACAGCUAAAAAUCUCAGGCACAUAUAUAUAGCUAGGGUGCCCAAGACUUUUGCUCAGUACUGUAUUUGCCUUUGUGAAGUGGAAAGCCAGUUUGUAAAUCCGGCGGGAGCAACUGAUGUUGGGAAGAGUGUGGGCAAAGCAUCACGGGAAGGGUGUGGUACAGGUUGCAGGGAAGGAGUUCUGGGGUGGGUGGGGGUUAUGUAGGUGCAGACACACCCAGCCCUGAGACACCAGCAAAGGUCAAUUUGCUUAUCAAUCAUUACAGAAUGUUUCUCUGGUACUUCCAGCUCCAUUCCCUCUCCCUUCCCCUUUUCCCAACCGUGAUUCCCCUCUCUCUGCCCCUUUCCCACUCUCAGUCCAUAAUAGAGACUCCUAUUGGAAUAGGUUUAUCACGACCCACAUAUGUCAUGAAAUUUGUUGUUUUUUUGUACAGUGCAAUACAUAAAAUUACUACAGUACUGUACAAAUGUCUUAGACACCCUCAUUAUGUGCCUAAAAAUUUUGUACAGUACUGUACAUGUCCUCUGGUAUUAGUUAUUCAGACCCUCAGUAAAAACUACCUUAUUUACACCUCUCAUAGUGUUCUAAACAUCUAAACUUUACUUCAUUUAUUUGCAGCUGACAUCAGUGCAAU
Molecule: long non-coding RNA, 1546 nt
Organism: Hypanus sabinus (Atlantic stingray)
Lineage: Eukaryota; Metazoa; Chordata; Chondrichthyes; Myliobatiformes; Dasyatidae
Exons: 3
Source: RefSeq, a predicted model, not a curated record